CACGUAGGGUGCGAGCGUUGUCCGGAAUUAUUGGGCGUAAAGAGCUCGUAGGCGGUCUGUCGCGUCGGCUGUGAAAACCUGAGGCUCAACCUCGGGCCUGCAGUCGAUACGGGCAGACUAGAGUUCGGUAGGGGAGACUGGAAUUCCUGGUGUAGCGGUGAAAUGCGCAGAUAUCAGGAGGACACCGGUGGCGAAGGCGGGUCUCUGGGCCGAAACUGACGCUGAGGAGCGAAAGCGUGGGGAGCAAACAGG
RNAcentral lists this ribosomal RNA (252 nucleotides) under uncultured bacterium. Its description in RNAcentral is "partial 16S ribosomal RNA". It matches the Rfam family "Bacterial small subunit ribosomal RNA", at positions 524 to 776 of the family's 1533-position model. The record is from RNAcentral.